This 436-nucleotide ribosomal RNA is filed under the name uncultured bacterium. RNAcentral's name for it is "partial 16S ribosomal RNA". It matches the Rfam family "Bacterial small subunit ribosomal RNA", at positions 29 to 507 of the family's 1533-position model. The record is from RNAcentral.
AUGCACGCUGGCGGCAUGCUUAACACAUGCAAGUCGAACGGGAAGUGGUGUUUCCAGUGGCGAACGGGUGAGUAACGCGUAAGAACCUGCCCUUGGGAGGGGAACAACAACUGGAAACGGUUGCUAAUACCCCGUAGGCUGAGGAGCAAAAGGAGAAAUCCGCCCAAGGAGGGGCUCGCGUCUGAUUAGCUAGUUGGUGAGGUAAUAGCUUACCAAGGCGAUGAUCAGUAGCUGGUCCGAGAGGAUGAUCAGCCACACUGGGACUGAGACACGGACCAGACUCCUACGGGAGGCAGCAGUGAGGAAUGUGCAGCAAUGGGCGAAAGCCUGACGGAGCAAUGCCGCGUGGAGGUGGAAGGCCUACGGGUCGUCAACUUCUUUUCUCGGAGAAGAAACAAUGACGGUAUCUGAGGAAUAAGCAUCGGCUAACUCUGUG